RNAcentral lists this ribosomal RNA (1664 nucleotides) under Pyrenophora tritici-repentis. Its description in RNAcentral is "SSU rRNA". It matches the Rfam family "Eukaryotic small subunit ribosomal RNA". Lineage: Eukaryota; Fungi; Ascomycota; Dothideomycetes; Pleosporales; Pleosporaceae. The record is from RNAcentral. RNAcentral also lists the same sequence under 2 other names.
AUUAUACCGUGAAACUGCGAAUGGCUCAUUAAAUCAGUUAUCGUUUAUUUGAUAAUACCUUACUACUUGGAUAACCGUGGUAAUUCUAGAGCUAAUACAUGCUGAAAAUCCCGACUUCGGAAGGGAUGUGUUUAUUAGAUAAAAAACCAAUGCCCUUCGGGGCUCCUUGGUGAUUCAUAAUAACUUUACGGAUCGCAUAGCCUUGCGCUGGCGACGGUUCAUUCAAAUUUCUGCCCUAUCAACUUUCGAUGGUAAGGUAUUGGCUUACCAUGGUUUCAACGGGUAACGGGGAAUUAGGGUUCGAUUCCGGAGAGGGAGCCUGAGAAACGGCUACCACAUCCAAGGAAGGCAGCAGGCGCGCAAAUUACCCAAUCCCGAUUCGGGGAGGUAGUGACAAUAAAUACUGAUACAGGGCUCUUUUGGGUCUUGUAAUUGGAAUGAGUACAAUUUAAACCUCUUAACGAGGAACAAUUGGAGGGCAAGUCUGGUGCCAGCAGCCGCGGUAAUUCCAGCUCCAAUAGCGUAUAUUAAAGUUGUUGCAGUUAAAAAGCUCGUAGUUGAAACUUGGGUCUGGCUGGCGGGUCCGCCUCACCGCGUGCACUCGUCCGGCCGGGCCUUCCUUCUGAAGAACCUCAUGCCCUUUACUGGGCGUGUUGGGGAAUCAGGACUUUUACUUUGAAAAAAUUAGAGUGUUCAAAGCAGGCCUUUGCUCGAAUACGUUAGCAUGGAAUAAUAAAAUAGGGCGUGCGUUUCUAUUUUGUUGGUUUCUAGAGACGCCGCAAUGAUUAACAGGAACAGUCGGGGGCAUCAGUAUUCAGUUGUCAGAGGUGAAAUUCUUGGAUUUACUGAAGACUAACUACUGCGAAAGCAUUUGCCAAGGAUGUUUUCAUUAAUCAGUGAACGAAAGUUAGGGGAUCGAAGACGAUCAGAUACCGUCGUAGUCUUAACCGUAAACUAUGCCGACUAGGGAUCGGGCGAUGUUCUUUUUCUGACUCGCUCGGCACCUUACGAGAAAUCAAAGUUUUUGGGUUCUGGGGGGAUUAUGGUCGCAAGGCUGAAACUUAAAGAAAUUGACGGAAGGUCACCACCAGGCGUGGAGCCUGCGGCUUAAUUUGACUCAACACGGGGAAACUCACCAGGUUCAGAUGAAAUAAGGAUUGACAGAUUGAGAGCUCUUUCUUGAUUUUUCAGGUGGUGGUGCAUGGCCGUUCUUAGUUCGUGGGGUGACUUGUCUGCUUAAUUGCGAUAACGAGCGAGACCUUACUCUGCUAAAUAGCCAGGCUAGCUUUGGCUGGUCGCCGGCUUCUUAGAGAGACUAUCAACUCAAGUUGAUGGAAGUUUGAGGCAAUAACAGGUCUGUGAUGCCCUUAGAUAUUCUGGGCCGCACGCGCGCUACACUGACAGAGCCAACGAGUUCUUUCCCUUGGCCGAAAGGUCUGGGUAAUCUUGUUAAACUCUGUCGUGCUGGGGAUAAAGCAUUGCAAUUAUUGCUUUUCAACGAGGAAUGCCUAGUAAGCGCGUGUCAUCAGCAUGCGUUGAUUACGUCCCUGACCUUUGUACACACCGCCCGUCGCUACUACCGAUUGAAUGGCUCAGUGAGGCCUUCGGACUGGCUCGGGGAGGUUGGCAACGACCACCCCAAGCCGGAAAGUUGGUCAAACUCG